CACGUAGGGGGCAAGCGUUGUCCGGAUUUAUUGGGCGUAAAGAGCUCGUAGGCGGCUCGGUAAGUCGGGUGUGAAACCUCCAGGCUCAACCUGGAGACGCCACUCGAUACUGCCGUGGCUAGAGUCCGGUAGAGGAGCGUAGAAUUCCUGGUGUAGCGGUGAAAUGCGCAGAUAUCAGGAGGAAUACCAAUUGCGAAGGCAGCUCGCUGGGACGUAACUGACGCUGAGACGCGAAAGCG
This 239-nucleotide ribosomal RNA is filed under the name uncultured prokaryote. RNAcentral's name for it is "partial 16S ribosomal RNA". It matches the Rfam family "Bacterial small subunit ribosomal RNA", at positions 524 to 761 of the family's 1533-position model. The record is from RNAcentral.